AAGCGGAGGAAAAGAAACUAACAAGGAUUCCCCUAGUAGCGGCGAGCGAAGCGGGAAGAGCUCAAAUUUAUAAUCUGGCACCUUCGGUGUCCGAGUUGUAAUCUCUAGAAGUGUUUUCCGCGUUGGACCGCACACAAGUCUGUUGGAAUACAGCGGCAUAGUGGUGAAACCCCCGUAUAUGGUGCGGACGCCCAGCGCUUUGUGAUACACUUUCAAUGAGUCGAGUUGUUUGGGAAUGCAGCUCAAAUUGGGUGGUAAAUUCCAUCUAAAGCUAAAUAUUGGCGAGAGACCGAUAGCGAACAAGUACCGUGAGGGAAAGAUGAAAAGCACUUUGGAAAGAGAGUUAACAGUACGUGAAAUUGUUGGAAGGGAAACGCUUGAAGUCAGACUUGCUUGCCGGAGCUUGCUUCGGUUUGCAGGCCAGCAUCAGUUUUCCGGGGUGGAUAAUGACGGUUUGAAGGUAGCAGUCUCGGCUGUGUUAUAGCUUUCCGUUGGAUACAUCCUGGGGGACUGAGGAACGCAGCGUGCUUUUUGCGAAAGACUCGUCUUUUUCACGCUUAGGAUGCUGGUGGAAUGGCUUUAAACGACCCGUCUUAAGCGGAGGAAAAGAAACUAACAAGGAUUCCCCUAGUAGCGGCGAGCGAAGCGGGAAGAGCUCAAAUUUAUAAUCUGGCACCUUCGGUGUCCGAGUUGUAAUCUCUAGAAGUGUUUUCCGCGUUGGACCGCACACAAGUCUGUUGGAAUACAGCGGCAUAGUGGUGAAACCCCCGUAUAUGGUGCGGACGCCCAGCGCUUUGUGAUACACUUUCAAUGAGUCGAGUUGUUUGGGAAUGCAGCUCAAAUUGGGUGGUAAAUUCCAUCUAAAGCUAAAUAUUGGCGAGAGACCGAUAGCGAACAAGUACCGUGAGGGAAAGAUGAAAAGCACUUUGGAAAGAGAGUUAACAGUACGUGAAAUUGUUGGAAGGGAAACGCUUGAAGUCAGACUUGCUUGCCGGAGCUUGCUUCGGUUUGCAGGCCAGCAUCAGUUUUCCGGGGUGGAUAAUGACGGUUUGAAGGUAGCAGUCUCGGCUGUGUUAUAGCUUUCCGUUGGAUACAUCCUGGGGGACUGAGGAACGCAGCGUGCUUUUUGCGAAAGACUCGUCUUUUUCACGCUUAGGAUGCUGGUGGAAUGGCUUUAAACGACCCGUCUU
RNAcentral lists this ribosomal RNA (1190 nucleotides) under Rhodotorula graminis. Its description in RNAcentral is "eukaryotic LSU rRNA". The stretch from base 565 to 1190 matches the Rfam family "Eukaryotic large subunit ribosomal RNA", at positions 1 to 655 of the family's 3401-position model. The record is from RNAcentral. Lineage: Eukaryota; Fungi; Basidiomycota; Microbotryomycetes; Sporidiobolales; Sporidiobolaceae.